This 484-nucleotide ribosomal RNA is filed under the name uncultured bacterium. RNAcentral's name for it is "partial 16S ribosomal RNA". It matches the Rfam family "Bacterial small subunit ribosomal RNA", at positions 30 to 507 of the family's 1533-position model. The record is from RNAcentral.
AUUGAACGCUGGCGGCAGGCCUAACACAUGCAAGUCGAGCGGAUGAAGGGAGCUUGCUCCUGGAUUCAGCGGCGGACGGGUGAGUAAUGCCUAGGAAUCUGCCUGGUAGUGGGGGAUAAUGUCCGGAAACGGGCGCUAAUACCGCAUACGUCCUGAGGGAGAAACUGGGGGAUGUUUGGACAUCACGCUAUCAGAUGAGCCUAGGUCGGAUUAGCUAGCUGGUGGGGUAAAGGCCUACUAAGGCGACGAUCCGUAACUGGACUGCGAGGAUGAUCGGUCACCCUGGAACUGAGACACGGACCAGACUCCUAAGAGAGGGAGCAGUCGGGAAUAUUAGACAAUGGGCGAGAGUCUGAUCCAGCCAUGCCGAGUGUGUGAAGAAGGUCUUCCGAUUGUAAAGCACGUUAAGUUGGGAGGAAGCGCAGUAAGUUAAUACCUUGCUGUUUUGACGUUACCAACAGAAUAAGCACCGGCUAACUUCGUG